UAGCCGAAACCAGCUAUCAUACUGAGAUCAAUUAAAAACAUGAUUCCAAUGACGAUUGCUGAAAAAAAAACACAUAAGCUGCAAAAGAGAAAGGAGAAAAUGAAAGACAAAGUGAAUAAAUAAAAGAAAUGCAUUUUUUUCGCACAUGAAAAGACGGACAAUGUUAAGAAUACGGCAAGGUGUUUGGAUUGGUGUCUAGGAAACAUUAAGAAGAAAAGAUAUGGAUAAGUUGAAAUUUCUUUCAAACCUUUGGUGUGAACAAUUCUUUGAUUCCAUCCAAAGCACCAGGUAGAGUGAUACCACGGAAGAACAGAAUGAUUAAUACAACAUACGGAAACGUUGCUGUGAAGUAGACAGCCUGAAAAAACAUUAAAAUAGAUUCAAUCACCACUCUGUAUAAAUAUAGAACUGGAAGCUCGGAAGUCAACGAUAGAAAGGCAUAAUACACACACCAUGUUAUCACGAUGAUGUAAUAGAGACAUAACAACAUAGAUGUGAUCAUGCAUGAGAUGCCAAUUCCUGUUAAGCCUUUGUGCAUACCACGCCAUGCUUCAACAGCGGUCUUUCGAAAUCUCUGACCAACACCGAGUUCGAUGAAAAACAAA
Long non-coding RNA from Hydractinia symbiolongicarpus, 605 nucleotides. RefSeq lists it as uncharacterized. The transcript is spliced from 3 exons. The record is from RefSeq and is a predicted model, not a curated record. NCBI's taxonomy places the organism in Eukaryota, Metazoa, Cnidaria, Hydrozoa, Anthoathecata, Hydractiniidae.